Aedes albopictus (Asian tiger mosquito) is the source of this 58-nucleotide non-coding RNA. NCBI's taxonomy places the organism in Eukaryota, Metazoa, Arthropoda, Insecta, Diptera, Culicidae. The record is from Rfam.
UAGCCUAGUGGUUAAAGCUAUGGACCGCCAAUCCGGAAACGGCGGGUUCGAUUCCCGC